UCAAACUUGGUCAUUUAGAGGAAGUAAAAGUCGUAACAAGGUAACCGUAGGUGAACCUGCGGUUGGAUCAUUAAAAAUUUAUCUUAGUCUCUGGGGUUUACUUUUGUGUAGUUUAGUGUAAUUUACUCUGUAAUUUACCCAGUAUUACCCUAUAAUUUACCCCAUGAUGGCUAUUAACACCUGUGCACUUUAUGUAUCUUGGGUAUAUUAUAUUUUAUGCCCAAAAUCUUGAUAAACCCCUAUUGAUUAUAUGUCUGAAAAUUUAUAUUAAAUAUAAACAACUUUUGACAACGGAUCUCUAGGCUCUCGCAUCGAUGAAGAACGCAGC
Molecule: unclassified non-coding RNA, 328 nt
Filed under: uncultured fungus
Lineage: Eukaryota; Fungi
Description: partial contains small subunit ribosomal RNA, internal transcribed spacer 1, and 5.8S ribosomal RNA
Rfam family: Eukaryotic small subunit ribosomal RNA (bases 1-73)
Source: RNAcentral